GAGUUUGAUCCUGGCUCAGAUUGAACGCUGGCGGCAUGCCUAACACAUGCGAGUCGAGCGGCAGCGCGGAGCAAUCUGGCGGCGAGCGGCGGACGGGUGAGGAAUACAUCGGAAUCUGCCCUUUUGUGGGGGACAACUCAGGGAAACUUGAGCUAUUACCGCAUGAUGUCGAGAGACCAAAGCUGGGGACCGUAAGGCCUGGCGCAGGAGGAUGAGCCGAUGUCGGAUUAGCUAGUUGGUAGGGUAAAGGCCUACCAAGGCGACGAUCCGUAGCUGGUCUGAGAGGAUGAUCAGCCACACUGGAACUGAGACACGGUCCAGACUCCUACGGGAGGCAGCAGUGGGGAAUAUUGGACAAUGGGGGCAACCCUGAUCCAGCAAUGCCGCGUGUGUGAAGAAGGCCUUCGGGUUGUAAAGCACUUUUGUUCGGGACGAAAUCUUACUAAUUAAUACCUAGUGAGGAUGACGGUACCGAAAGAAUAAGCACCGGCUAACUUCGUGCCAGCAGCCGCGGUAAUCCC
Molecule: ribosomal RNA, 521 nt
Filed under: uncultured bacterium
Lineage: Bacteria
Description: bacterial SSU rRNA
Rfam family: Bacterial small subunit ribosomal RNA
Source: RNAcentral